UCAUAAAUAAAAACAAAAGAGGAAUUUUGAUGCCCUGAAGUGAUAAACUGGCCAGCCCCUACUUAAAAUUUUCGCUCUCACUUAUAUUUCCCUUGUAAUGUUAUCAUCAUUUUUUAUAUAUUCAACAAGCCAUUUACGUUAAUCAAUCAUAGUUGCAAAACAUCAAUAGAUUGAUCAUUGGUACAAUCAUUUAUCUGGUAAGGGGUUUCCCAUUUCUUUGCAAUAUUUGCGUGAUCCCAGGUACAUGAUGAGCUUACAGUUGUUAUGACUAGUUGAUCCUUUGUAUCUUUAUUUCUUAAAGCCAACUGAUUAGUGACUAGUAAAUGACUCAUUUUGCAGAAUUUAUGGACUUAAUCAUCAUGUUACUCGAUACUUAU
This 377-nucleotide long non-coding RNA is filed under the name Salvia miltiorrhiza (redroot sage). RNAcentral's name for it is "long non-coding RNA (SMIL_LNC011173)". The record is from RNAcentral. Lineage: Eukaryota; Viridiplantae; Streptophyta; Magnoliopsida; Lamiales; Lamiaceae.